GACGAACGCUGGCGGCGUGCCUAAUACAUGCAAGUCGAGCGAGCGGAACUAACAGAUUUACUUCGGUAAUGACGUUAGGAAAGCGAGCGGCGGAUGGGUGAGUAACACGUGGGGAACCUGCCCCAUAGUCUGGGAUACCACUUGGAAACAGGUGCUAAUACCGGAUAAGAAAGCAGAUCGCAUGAUCAGCUUUUAAAAGGCGGCGUAAGCUGUCGCUAUGGGAUGGCCCCGCGGUGCAUUAGCUAGUUGGUAAGGUAAAGGCUUACCAAGGCGAUGAUGCAUAGCCGAGUUGAGAGACUGAUCGGCCACAUUGGGACUGAGACACGGCCCAAACUCCUACGGGAGGCAGCAGUAGGGAAUCUUCCACAAUGGACGCAAGUCUGAUGGAGCAACGCCGCGUGAGUGAAGAAGGUUUUCGGAUCGUAAAGCUCUGUUGUUGGUGAAGAAGGAUAGAGGUAGUAACUGGCCUUUAUUUGACGGUAAUCAACCAGAAAAUCACGGCUAACUACGU
RNAcentral lists this ribosomal RNA (511 nucleotides) under uncultured bacterium. Its description in RNAcentral is "partial 16S ribosomal RNA". It matches the Rfam family "Bacterial small subunit ribosomal RNA", at positions 28 to 506 of the family's 1533-position model. The record is from RNAcentral.